Molecule: ribosomal RNA, 442 nt
Filed under: uncultured bacterium
Lineage: Bacteria
Description: partial 16S ribosomal RNA
Rfam family: Bacterial small subunit ribosomal RNA
Source: RNAcentral
CCUACGGGAGGUAGCAGUGGGGAAUAUUGGGCAAUGGACGCAAGUCUGACCCAGCAACGCCGCGUGAAGGAAGAAGGCUUUCGGGUUGUAAACUUCUUUUAAGGGGGAAGAGCAGAAGACGGUACCCCUUGAAUAAGCCAUGGCUAACUACGUGCCAGCAGCCGCGGUCAUACGUAGGUGGCAAGCGUUGUCCGGAUUUACUGGGUGUAAAGGGCGUGCAGCCGGAGAGACAAGUCAGAUGUGAAAUCUACGGGCUCAACCCGUGAACUGCAUUUGAAACUGUUUCCCUUGAGUGUCGGAGAGGUAAUCGGAAUUCCUUGUGUAGCGGUGAAAUGCGUAGAUAUAAGGAAGAACACCAGUGGCGAAGGCGGAUUACUGGACGAUAACUGACGGUGAGGCGCGAAAGCGUGGGGAGCAAACAGGAUUAGAUACCCUUGUAGUC